AGGAUAAUAGUUAACUUAUAACAUUUAAUUUGCAUUUAAAAAAUAUUGAAAUUCUCAAUUUAUCUUA
RNAcentral lists this transfer RNA (67 nucleotides) under Staphylinidae sp. BMNH 1274245. RNAcentral describes it as "tRNA-Ala". Lineage: Eukaryota; Metazoa; Arthropoda; Insecta; Coleoptera; Staphylinidae. The record is from RNAcentral.